CCUGGUUCAUCUGCUGAUACUGCUGGAGCUCAGGAACAUGAUGAUGAUGAUGUACCCGAACUUGUUGCUGGCGAGACCUUUGAGGCUGCUGCAGAGGAGGGUCACGGUCACAGUCACGAUGAUCACGAUCACAGUCACGAUCACGAUCACGAUCACGAUCACGAUCACGAUCACGAUCACGAUCACGAUCACGGUCAUGAUCAUGGUCAUGCUUCUUAAGUGCUCAAUAUCGAUCUUGCGUGCAAUUCCUUGUAUUUUUCUUGAUGUUUUUGAGAUGUUUAUUAUGAAAAUACUCAAAAGUUCCGUUACAUCUACAUUUUAAG
Molecule: long non-coding RNA, 323 nt
Filed under: Olea europaea (common olive)
Lineage: Eukaryota; Viridiplantae; Streptophyta; Magnoliopsida; Lamiales; Oleaceae
Description: long non-coding RNA (OEUR_LNC006840)
Source: RNAcentral